This 1401-nucleotide long non-coding RNA is filed under the name Ananas comosus (pineapple). Its description in RNAcentral is "long non-coding RNA (ACOM_LNC007045)". Lineage: Eukaryota; Viridiplantae; Streptophyta; Magnoliopsida; Poales; Bromeliaceae. The record is from RNAcentral.
AAAAAUUUUUUCGAAUUAAUUAAUAAUUUAAGCAAAUCUAAUAUGUUGGUGUAUAUAUUAAAAAAAAUAGAGGUCAGUUAUAAAAUAAUAUAAAAAGUAUCAACGAGUCGAUAAGUCGAACCACGGAAAUCUCACUCUCUUUAAGAAAAUUCAAGUUCUCUGCGAUUGACAAAACUUUUAAACCGAUGCAACAGAAUAAUGAUUUGUCCAAUACAACGGCUCGACCUUCGUCGUAUAGUUUUACCAACUUUGUACAAGUGAACGAGCCAAAAACUCCAUCAAAUGAAACAACUUUCUUUAGCCGCUCUCUCUCUCUCAAAUAGAAUAGAAUUUUCUUUUUAUUUUUCUUUGUUGUACUUUUUGUUGGAUUUUAUCCAAUAAUAAAUUUUGAUGAUAACAAAUAAAUUUUAGAUUUAAUUUGUCAUUUAGCAAUUUUAGGUUGUAUUUAAAUUUAAAGUGGCUCAAACUAAACCGGAAUUGAUCAAAGAUAACCAUUCAAUCAAAUUGUUUAAAUUGACCUAGACAAAAUCAAAUUGUACCAAAUUGGAUGCAAAUACCGCAACAGUAAGUUGGAGGACUUCUUUACAAUUUAUUGGAUUUGAGCAGGUCAACCUAGUCUAGUUAACCAAUUCAUUGUUUGGGUUUGAUUUGAGCUUAACGUCAAAUUACUCAUUAUUUUUAAUAUGGUAUGAAAAAGAUUUGAUAUAUGGUAUAAAUUCAAAAAUAAUUCUAUUAUGACAUGAAUUUAAAAAAAUAUAAUAUAUGAUAUAAAUCAGUUUUACCAGUAUGGUAUUAUUUCAAAAGCUUUUACAAAUAUGAGAUGAAUUCAAAAAGUUUUACAGUUGUAAUAUUAAUUUAAAAGGUUUUACAAAUUCGAUAUAAUUUCAAAUGAACCUUUUAAUAUAGUAAUAUUUCAAAUGUGUUUUGCAAAUGUGGUAUAAAAUCAAAUUUAUUUUGAAAUUAAUUCAAAUGCAUUAGCAAGUACGGUUAAAAUUCAAAUUAAAAUCAAUUAUAAUUUAAUCAUACUUUUGUUCUAUUUUUGAAAUGAUGGCUACAGUAUUUAAAGAGGGGUUUAGAUGUUGUUUGUGAGAUAGCUUUAGAAAAUUUUUUAUUUUGUAAUGGUGAGCUUUAUUGAGAGGUAGUAAAAAAAUUAUGUGUGAUUAUAAGCGGCUUUCGUCUUACCCUAUUUAAAAGGCCAAGUGAUAGUGAUCAAAUCAGUACCUCAAGGAGAAGAAUAAGCAGAUUGGAGCAGGCGGAAGGCCAAAUCAGAAUAAAUCAUCUGUGUUUUUUGAGUUUGAUUUUCUUUUCUUAUUUGCUUGUGCAAUUUUAUCUUGAUUUAAUUUUACUUGAGUUUUAGUUGUCAACUAAUUCACCCUUCCUCUUAGUUGUCAUUUGAUCCUU